RNAcentral lists this ribosomal RNA (258 nucleotides) under uncultured archaeon. RNAcentral's name for it is "partial 16S ribosomal RNA". It matches the Rfam family "Archaeal small subunit ribosomal RNA", at positions 748 to 1007 of the family's 1478-position model. The record is from RNAcentral.
CAGCCGUAAACUAUGCGCGUUAGGUGUAUCGGUGACCACGAGUUACCGAGGUGCCGAAGGGAAACCGUGAAACGUGCCGCCUGGGAAGUACGGUCGCAAGGCUGAAACUUAAAGGAUUGGCGGGGGAGCACAACAACGGGUGGAGCCUGCGGUUUAAUUGGACUCAACGCCGGACAACUCACCGGGAACGACAGCAAUAUGAUUGCCGGGCUGAAGACCCUGCAUGACUAGCUGAGAGGAGGUGCAUGGCGUAGACGU